AGCUGCUUUUCCAAUACUUUUAGGGAG
RNAcentral lists this non-coding RNA (27 nucleotides) under Homo sapiens (human). The record is from RNAcentral. Lineage: Eukaryota; Metazoa; Chordata; Mammalia; Primates; Hominidae.